RNAcentral lists this ribosomal RNA (521 nucleotides) under Pseudomonas putida. RNAcentral's name for it is "bacterial SSU rRNA". It matches the Rfam family "Bacterial small subunit ribosomal RNA", at positions 1 to 520 of the family's 1533-position model. Lineage: Bacteria; Pseudomonadati; Pseudomonadota; Gammaproteobacteria; Pseudomonadales; Pseudomonadaceae. The record is from RNAcentral.
UUAGAGUUUGAUCAUGGCUCAGAUUGAACGCUGGCGGCAGGCCUAACACAUGCAAGUCGAGCGGAUGACGGGAGCUUGCUCCUUGAUUCAGCGGCGGACGGGUGAGUAAUGCCUAGGAAUCUGCCUGGUAGUGGGGGACAACGUUUCGAAAGGAACGCUAAUACCGCAUACGUCCUACGGGAGAAAGCAGGGGACCUUCGGGCCUUGCGCUAUCAGAUGAGCCUAGGUCGGAUUAGCUAGUUGGUGGGGUAAUGGCUCACCAAGGCGACGAUCCGUAACUGGUCUGAGAGGAUGAUCAGUCACACUGGAACUGAGACACGGUCCAGACUCCUACGGGAGGCAGCAGUGGGGAAUAUUGGACAAUGGGCGAAAGCCUGAUCCAGCCAUGCCGCGUGUGUGAAGAAGGUCUUCGGAUUGUAAAGCACUUUAAGUUGGGAGGAAGGGCAAGUAAAGCUAAUACCUUGCUGUUUUGACGUUACCGACAGAAUAAGCACCGGCUAACUCUGUGCCAGCAGCCGCGG